Molecule: ribosomal RNA, 1480 nt
Filed under: uncultured Bordetella sp.
Lineage: Bacteria; Pseudomonadati; Pseudomonadota; Betaproteobacteria; Burkholderiales; Alcaligenaceae
Description: partial 16S-23S ribosomal RNA intergenic spacer
Rfam family: Bacterial small subunit ribosomal RNA
Source: RNAcentral
UGAUUAUGGCUCAGAUUGAACGCUGGCGGGAUGCUUUACACAUGCAAGUCGAACGGCAGCACGGACUUCGGUCUGGUGGCGAGUGGCGAACGGGUGAGUAAUGUAUCGGAACGUGCCUAGUAGCGGGGAUAACUACGCGAAAGCGUAGCUAAUACCGCAUACGCCCUUCGGGGGAAAGCGGGGACCUUCGGGCCUCGCACUAUUAGAGCGGCCGAUAUCGGAUUAGCUAGUUGGUGGGGCAACGGCUCACCAAGGCGACGAUCCGUAGCUGGUUUGAGAGGACGACCAGCCACACUGGGACUGAGACACGGCCCAGACUCCCACGGGAGGCAGCAGUGGGGAAUUUUGACAAUGGGGAAGCCUCCUGAUCCAGCCAUCCCGCGUGUGCGAUGAAGGCCUUCGGGCUGUAAAGCACUUUUGGCAGGAAAGAAACGGCACGGGAUAAUACCCCGUGCAAAUCAACGGUACCUGCAUUAUAUUAACUGGUUGGGUCCAUGCACUGCAGCUGUUAAAGAGGCACGAUAGUGCAAGCGUUAAUCGGAAUUACUGGGCGUAAAAGCGUGCGCAGGCGGUUCGGAAAGAAAGAUGUGAAAUCCCAGAGCUUAACUUUGGAACUGCAUUUUUUAACUACCGAGCUAGAGUGUGUCAGAGGGAGUGUGGAAUUUCGCGUGUAGCAGUGAAAUGCGUAGAUAUGCGGAGGAACACCGAUGGCGAAGGCAGCUUCCUGAUAACACUGACGCUCAUGCACGAAAGCGUGGGGAGCAAACAGGAUUAGAUACCCUGGUAGUCCACGCCCUAAACGAUGUCAACUAGCUGUUGGGGCCUUCGGGCCUUGGUAGCGCAGCUAACGCGUGAAGUUGACCGCCUGGGGAGUACGGUCGCAAGAUUAAAACUCAAAGGAAUUGACGGGGACCCGCACAAGCGGUGGAUGAUGUGGAUUAAUUCGAUGCAACGCGAAAACCUUACCUACCCGACAUGUCUGGAAUCCCGAAGAGAUUUGGGAGUGCUCGCAAGAGAACCGGAACACAGGUGCUGCAUGGCUGUCGUCAGCUCGUGUCGUGAGAUGUUGGGUUAAGUCCCGCAACGAGCGCAACCCUUGUCAUUAGUUGCUACGAAAGGGCACUCUAAUGAGACUGCCGGUGACAAACCGAGGAAGGGUGGGGAUGACGUCAAGUCCUCAUGGCCCUUAUGGGUAGGGCUUCACACGUCAUACAAUGGUCGGGACAGAGGGUCGCCAACCCGCGAGGGGAGCCAAUCCCAGAAACCGAUCGUAGUCCGGAUCGCAGUCUGCAACUCGACUGCGUGAAGUCGGAAUCGCUAGUAAUCGCGGAUCAGCAUGUCGCGGUGAAUACGUUCCCGGGUCUUGUACACACCGCCCGUCACACCAUGGGAGUGGGUUUUACCAGAAGUAGUUAGCCUAACCGUAAGGAGGGCGAUUACCACGGUAGGAUCUGGCGAUCAGUAGGUCGUGUCAAGGUAA